This 769-nucleotide long non-coding RNA is filed under the name Macaca mulatta (Rhesus monkey). Its description in RNAcentral is "lncRNA (ENSMMUG00000053657.1)". Lineage: Eukaryota; Metazoa; Chordata; Mammalia; Primates; Cercopithecidae. The record is from RNAcentral.
CAGCUUUCCAGACUACAUAUCUCCAAGAAAAAUCUUGGAUUACUUUAAACAUAUCAUUUAAGAAUCUGAAAAAUGUUCUUACCUUAAACAAUUUAAACAAAUGCGAUUUUGUGAGUUUUUUGAUUGAUAUCGUCUCAGUGGACUCAAGGACAAUCUCACUUUCUCAUCCAUCUCCUUGUGAUAAAAUGACAGGCAUUUCAAGAGAUAAGAGGCAGGCUGCUGCCCACUCAAAAGUAUCAUUCCACCCAUCAGACAGAGCUCCCAAAUUAAGGAUCGUAGCAAUUACACACAAGCAACAGCAUGGAAAAGAAGCCAGUGCUGCAGAGGUGAUCUGGAUCCAGGAAGAAAGGGAAGAUACCUUCAAUCAAAAAUUUCUGGAGUUACAAAUGCAUUUCAACAAUGAUCAAGUCAUGCUGCAACAGGCACAGAGAACAAAUAACUGCAAGAAGAAAUUGCUGAACUUGGGUCUGAAAUCCCAGCAUUAACAAAAAAGGUGAGAUCAAUAAUGUUCAAAUGGGCGAGCUGAUGACAAAUUUGAGAUAACUCCAUUGUGGAUUUCAUACCUGCUGUUUUAUCCUCAUUCUUCACAGAACACAUGACAAGUUGGUAUUAUGAAAAUCAUUAUAAAACAAUUACUUGCCAUUUCUAAUUAUGUAAUAUUUGGAAAAUGUCCAGAUGUAAAUGUGUCAUGCUUCUUUUUUUAACUUUUGGGCUGUAAAAUAAUUAAGAAAGAUGAAAUUGAAUUAAUGUAAUAAAACACUAUUUGACA